CCCUUAGAUGUUCUGGGCUGCACGCGCGCUACACUGAUGCGCUCAACGAGUUUUAACCUUGCCUGGAAAGGUUGGGUAAUCUUUUUAAAACGCAUCGUGAUGGGGAUAGAUUAUUGCAAUUAUUAAUCUUCAACGAGGAAUUCCUAGUAAGCGCGAGUCAUCAGCUCGCGUUGAUUACGUCCCUGCCCUUUGUACACACCGCCCGUCGCUACUACCGAUUGGAUGGUUUAGUGAGACCCUCGGAUCGGUCCCGACUCGGGGUGGGCUUCUGCCCCGGUCGUGGUUUCGCCGAGAAGACGGUCGAACUUGACUAUCUAGAGGAAGUAAAAGUCGUAACA
RNAcentral lists this ribosomal RNA (338 nucleotides) under uncultured eukaryote. Its description in RNAcentral is "partial 18S ribosomal RNA". It matches the Rfam family "Eukaryotic small subunit ribosomal RNA", at positions 1470 to 1796 of the family's 1831-position model. The record is from RNAcentral.